RNAcentral lists this ribosomal RNA (468 nucleotides) under uncultured bacterium. RNAcentral's name for it is "partial 16S ribosomal RNA". It matches the Rfam family "Bacterial small subunit ribosomal RNA", at positions 28 to 507 of the family's 1533-position model. The record is from RNAcentral.
GACGAACGCUGGCGGCGUGCUUAACACAUGCAGGUCGAACGGAAAGGCCCUGCUUUUGUGGGGUGCUCGAGUGGCGAACGGGUGAGUAACACGUGAGUAACCUGCCCUUGACUUUGGGAUAACUUCAGGAAACUGGGGCUAAUACCGGAUAGGAGCUCCUGCUGCAUGGUGGGGGUUGGAAAGUUUCGGCGGUUGGGGAUGGACUCGCGGCUUAUCAGCUUGCUGGUGGGGUAGUGGCUUACCAAGGCUUUGACGGGUAGCCGGCCUGAGAGGGUGACCGGCCACAUUGGGACUGAGAUACGGCCCAGACUCCUACGGGAGGCAGCAGUGGGGAAUAUUGCACAAUGGGCGGAAGCCUGAUGCAGCAACGCCGCGUGCGGGAUGACGGCCUUCGGGUUGUAAACCGCUUUCGCCUGUGACGAAGCGUGAGUGACGGUAAUGGGUAAAGAAGCACCGGCUAACUACGUG